GACGAACGCUGGCGGCGUGCUUAACACAUGCAAGUCGAACGGAAAGGCCCUGCUUUUGUGGGGUGCUCGAGUGGCGAACGGGUGAGUAACACGUGAGUAACCUGCCCUUGACUUUGGGAUAACUUCAGGGAACUGGGGCUAAUACCGGAUAGGAGCUCCUGCUGCAUGGUGGGGGUUGGAAAGUUUCGGCGGUUGGGGAUGGACUCGCGGCUUAUCAGCUUGUUGGUGGGGUAGGGGCUUACCAAGGCUUUGACGGGUAGCCGGCCUGAGAGGGUGACCGGCCACAUUGGGCCUGAGAUACGGCCCAGACUCCUACGGGAGGCAGCAGUGGGGAAUAUUGCACAAUGGGCGGAAGCCUGAUGCAGCAACGCCGCGUGCGGGAUGACGGCCUUCGGGUUGUAAACCGCUUUCGACUGUGACGAAGCGUGAGUGACGGUAAUGGGUAAAGAAGCACCGGCUAACUACGUG
This 468-nucleotide ribosomal RNA is filed under the name uncultured bacterium. Its description in RNAcentral is "partial 16S ribosomal RNA". It matches the Rfam family "Bacterial small subunit ribosomal RNA", at positions 28 to 507 of the family's 1533-position model. The record is from RNAcentral.